RNAcentral lists this unclassified non-coding RNA (336 nucleotides) under soil metagenome. RNAcentral's name for it is "partial contains 5.8S ribosomal RNA, internal transcribed spacer 2, and large subunit ribosomal RNA". The stretch from base 1 to 120 matches the Rfam family "5.8S ribosomal RNA", at positions 35 to 154 of the family's 154-position model. The record is from RNAcentral.
GAUGAAGAACGUAGCGAAAUGCGAUAAGUAAUGUGAAUUGCAGAAUUCAGUGAAUCAUCGAAUCUUUGAACGCACAUUGCGCCCGCCAGUAUUCUGGCGGGCAUGCCUGUUCGAGCGUCAUUUCAACCAUCAAGCCCCUGGCUUGUGUUGGGGACCUGCGGCUGCCGCAGGCCCUGAAAACCAGUGGCGGGCUCGCUGUCACACCGGGCGUAGUAGAUUUUAUCUCGCUCAGGGCGUGCUGCGGGUCCCGGCCGUUAAAAGCCUUUUUUUACCCAAGGUUGACCUCGGAUCAGGUAGGAAGACCCGCUGAACUUAAGCAUAUCAAUAAGCGGAGGA